This 468-nucleotide ribosomal RNA is filed under the name uncultured bacterium. RNAcentral's name for it is "partial 16S ribosomal RNA". It matches the Rfam family "Bacterial small subunit ribosomal RNA", at positions 28 to 507 of the family's 1533-position model. The record is from RNAcentral.
GACGAACGCUGGCGGCGUGCUUAACACAUGCAAGUCGAACGGAAAGGCCCUGCUUUUUUUGGGUGCUCGAGUGGCGAACGGGUGAGUAACACGUGAGUAACCUGCCCUUGACUUUGGGAUAACUUCAGGAAACUGGGGCUAAUACCGGAUAGGAGCUCCUGCUGCAUGGUGGGGGUUGGAAAGUUUCGGCGGUUGGGGAUGGACUCGCGGCUUAUCAGCUUGUGGGGGGGGUAGUGGCUUACCACGGCUUUGACGGGUAGCCGGCCUGAGAGGGUGACCGGCCACAUUGGGACUGAGAUACGGCCCAGACUGCUACGGGAGGCAGCAGUGGGGAAUAUUGCACAGUGGGCGGAAGCCUGAUGCAGCAACGCCGCGUGCGGGAUGAAGGCCUUCGGGUUGUAAACCGCUUUCGCCUGUGACGAAGCGUGAGUGACGGUAAUGGGUAAAGAAGCACCGGCUAACUACGUG